GUGAUGUGUCACACACUUUCCACUCUGAUGCAUGAGUAAGGAAGAAUGCAAAGAUUGGUGGCAAAGUGUGGUUAGGUGGAUCAAUAAACCACAGGAUGUUUUGGAUUCUGGAGCUGUAAGGAACAGUGGGAGGCAUUGGAAAGUGUGUAUUCACCAGCACCUGGGGACUGCUCCCAUGCCCGAAUGCAGGUAUGAAACUAAGUAGGAAAUGGUAGCAGGAAGCCUCAAAUUGAAUUGGCAAUGACACAGAAAAAAGUAGGGAAAAACAGGAAAUGGGACCCCAGCACAUCCUUAAACUUGAUGUGCAGCAAAUGUUUGUCUGUGGAGGCUUUGUCCUUUACUGUGUGGGAUGCCCUAAAGCAUGACAUUCUUUCCCACUUGCUGUGUUCCUAGAUUGUUGAUGUUCUAAUUUUGAACAGAUGUCUCUAGUAAGUAAAUGGUGAUUCAGUUUUUCAUUGGCCAAGUUCAUGUUCCAGCUGUAGACAGGAGGACACACAUUGGUUCCUGUGAAGGCAUCAGAGCUCAGUCUGUGACUCAUGGCAGACGGUGGCCAAUGCUCAGGGUCAAUAACUGUAGCAAUUGUAUUCCCUGAAAGUUACCAGCCAUUCCAAGGAGGGAAAACCAUGCUGGGGUGGUGCUGGGGUGGUCUUUGGCUUUGUGAGACGUCACUGAUUCCAAAGAGCAUUCACACCUGCCAGCCUUUGCUACUGCUGUCAAUGCUCAGGGGAUCAGUGCCCUUCCCUGGCUCAGCGCCCAGUGCCAACAGAACACCUUGCAGGAUCCUCAGCAGCGCAGACAACGUAAGUAGCCAGCUGUCCCCUGAUGCCCUUGUCCAGAAGCCUGCGCACCCUGCGGACCCCGUGGAGCGCCCACACGCCUCCUUCCCUCGCUCGCCCUCCGAGUGCCACCUGGGCUUCACAAGUAGCACCUUCCAAAUCUCUCUGUCUUCAAGUUUGUGCAUGUCUGUGUGGCAUCCCUCCUCCUCCUUCACUCCCAUAGUGGAUCUCGUGAAGGGCUUCAGAUCGGCCCCAUUCAUCUCCCUGGUGAUAGCAGUGAAUGUAGAUAAAUCUCUGCUGCCUGCUUGCUGCUCCAGUAUGAUUUUUAUUUUGUCUUCCGUGUACACCUAGGUCAAAAAGUGGGAUGUAUAGUGACGGUGGGUGAGUGUGUGUGUGUGUGUGUGUGUGUGUGUGUGUCUCUUCCUCAGUCCCUGUCGUUCUCUUGCACUGAGGCACACAAGCACACAUCUCCCUGCGUGUGUUACACGCGUGCACACACAUAAACACCCGCACACGGACGCGCGCGUGUGUGCACAGAGCACACAGACAUCUCCUCACCCCACUGACACAGCUCCUGUGCACCGACCCCAGGCGGUGUGUGCUGUGUGUCUGUGUGUCUGUACGCACUGUUCCGUGUGCGUGUGCAUACACAGGCAUCUCGCUACACCGUCAAACAUUCUCUCUCCUCCCAGCAGAGGCUGUGUGCAGGCUGAUCCUGCCCUGUGAGAGCGGUAUUCCUUCCUCCCUUCCUUCCCUCGGCUCUUCGGAGACCUUCGCGUUCCCUCCUCGGGGUCCCUCCUGAGCUGCAGAUUUGGCACCUUUCCCUGAGGUUGUCCAAAUGGCAAAUGGCAUCGGCCGGAGUUCACAUUCUUGCAUCUUCUCUGGGCAUUUCUCCCUCCAUGUCGACUACUCCCUUUUGUUUGUUGUUGACUGGGCUGGGUGUGGUUGGGGUUUUUUUGGCAUUAAUUGUAAACGAACCUGAAUGGCAAAACACGCCAACAGCUUGCGGGGAAAAAAAAGCCAAAAAAAAAAAGCAAGCCCCACACAAACGCCUUCUGCUGCGACAGAUGCCCAUGUUGCCCCUGGCAUGGAGAGCGGGCACAAGGGGUUUGUUGAUGAGGUUUUUUCGAUUGCUGUGUUUAUUGUUCGCAUUUCCCUUUUCCAUUUAUUUUUAAAGACUCCAAGAUGCCGGCCUCGGCUUGGAACGGAGCGGUGUCAUGGCGGAGACGACGGCCUUUGUCUCGCAGGGUGUGAAAGCAUCCGUUGUGCUGGCUCCACUGCGGCAGAAUGAUGUCUAAAGGGGGGAAAAGUGCUGGAAGUCCGAGUAGUGCGGCGCUGGCGGGGGAGCCCCAUCCCCAUGGUGCGCGUCCGAGGAAGGGCUCUCGGCGGAGGAGCCUGGUCUGUAAUCCUGGCACUUGUGCCUCCGGUCGCUGCCUGCCGCUUGCUCCUGGGGCUCUGGAUAAUCUCCCUUGGCUCUACGGCACUGUCUGGCCCGCGCUCAGGGCCCCCGUAACAUAUACCCGCUGCCGCGAUCGCAGGGAGCUGUGGCGUUGCCACUGAAUGGAUGGCACUGUGCCAACUCCGCUGCCAUCCGCCCUUGCAGCUCUUUUCCUCCCUCCUCCCUCCCGCUCUCCCCUCCUCCUCCUCCUCCCGUCGACUUGAUGUUAAUUAACACACGGGUUAAUUGAUUUUAAAAGCUGAAGAAUUACAGUUAAGUUUUCCCACAGGGUCCGGCCGCCUGGCACGCUGCGCCUGGCGCGGGGGCGGCGGCCGGGCCGGCCCUGCCAGGGCUGCCGGAGCCGGCCGGGCGGCUGGCACCGCUGCCUCGUCCUUCCGACACAUCGCCGCUGCAUUCUGCUGUAAACAGCCGGCACGAGCCCUGCCUCGGCUCUGCCAGGCACCUGCGUGUCAGCAGCAGCGCUGCCGCCGGAGCUGCGGCACGGCAGCCCCGGGCCCUCGGCAGCAUCGGGCGGCGCACGGCCCCGGCCCGGGCACCCCGAGG
Long non-coding RNA from Camarhynchus parvulus, 2778 nucleotides. The record is from Ensembl. NCBI's taxonomy places the organism in Eukaryota, Metazoa, Chordata, Aves, Passeriformes, Thraupidae.